Molecule: ribosomal RNA, 1387 nt
Filed under: metagenome
Description: bacterial LSU rRNA
Rfam family: Bacterial large subunit ribosomal RNA
Source: RNAcentral
UUAGAUGAGGCGUGAUGACGAGGAUCCUCGGAUCCGAAGUGAGUGAUACCCAGCUUCCAGGAAAAGCCUCUAAGCUUCAGUCAUAGAGUGACCGUACCGCCAACCGACACAGGUGGGCUGGUAGAGAAUACCAAGGCGCUUGAGAGAACUCAGGAGAAGGAACUCGGCAAAUUGAUACCGUAACUUCGGGAGAAGGUAUGCCCCUGGUACGUGAAGGCCCUCGCGGCCGGAGCGGAACGGGGUCGCAGAGAAUCGGUGGCUGCGACUGUUUAUUAAAAACACAGCACUCUGCAAACACGAAAGUGGACGUAUAGGGUGUGACGCCUGCCCGGUGCCGGAAGGUUAAGUGAUGGGGUGCAAGCUCUUGAUCGAAGCCCCGGUAAACGGCGGCCGUAACGAUAACGGUCCUAAGGUAGCGAAAUUCCUUGUCGGGUAAGUUCCGACCUGCACGAAUGGCGUAACGAUGGCCACACUGUCUCCUCCUGAGACUCAGCGAAGUUGAAAUGUUUGUGAAGAUGCAAUCUCCCCGCGGCUAGACGGAAAGACCCCAUGAACCUUUACUGUAGCUUUGCAUUGGACUUUGACGGGACUUGUGUAGGAUAGGUGGGAGGCUAUGAAACCGGGACGCCAGUUCCGGUGGAGCCAUCCUUGAAAUACCACCCUGGUGUCGUCGAGGUUCUAACCCAGGCCUGUGAAUCCAGGUCGGGGACCGUGCAUGGUGGGCAGUUUGACUGGGGCGGUCUCCUCCCAAAAGGUAACGGAGGAGUACGAAGGUCACCUAGGUACGGUCGGACAUCGUACUAAUAGUGCAAUGGCAAAAGGUGGCUUGACUGCGAGACCCACAAGUCGAGCAGGUGCGAAAGCAGGUCAUAGUGAUCCGGUGGUUUUGUAUGGAAGGGCCAUCGCUCAACGGAUAAAAGGUACUCUGGGGAUAACAGGCUGAUUCCGCCCAAGAGUUCAUAUCGACGGCGGAGUUUGGCACCUCGAUGUCGGCUCAUCACAUCCUGGGGCUGUAGCCGGUCCCAAGGGUAUGGCUGUUCGCCAUUUAAAGUGGUACGUGAGCUGGGUUUAAAACGUCGUGAGACAGUUUGGUCCCUAUCUGCCGUGGGCGCUGGAAGUUUGAGAGGGCCUGCUCCUAGUACGAGAGGACCGGAGUGGACGCACCCCUGGUGUACCGGUUGUGACGCCAGUCGCAUCGCCGGGUAGCUAUGUGCGGAAGAGAUAACCGCUGAAAGCAUCUAAGCGGGAAACUCGCCUCAAGAUGAGACUUCCCCGGGGCCUCGAGCCCCCUGAAGGGUCGUUGAAGACCACAACGUUGAUAGGCCGGGUGUGUAAGCGUGGCAACACGUUCAGCUAACCGGUACUAAUUGCCCGUGUGGCUUGAUCC